This 253-nucleotide ribosomal RNA is filed under the name uncultured bacterium. RNAcentral's name for it is "partial 16S ribosomal RNA". It matches the Rfam family "Bacterial small subunit ribosomal RNA", at positions 524 to 776 of the family's 1533-position model. The record is from RNAcentral.
UACGUAGGUGGCAAGCGUUGUCCGGAUUUACUGGGCGUAAAGAGCGCGCAGGCGGUCGGAUCAGUCGAAUGUGAAAGCCCCCGGCUCAACUGGGGAGGGUCAUUCGAUACUGUCCGACUCGAAGGCAGGAGAGGGAAGCGGAAUUCCCGGUGUAGUGGUGAAAUGCGUAGAUAUCGGGAGGAACACCGAUGGCGAAGGCAGGUCUCUGGGCCACUACUGACGCUGAGAAGCGAAAGCAUGGGGAGCGAACAGG